GACGAACGCUGGCGGCGUGCUUAACACAUGCAAGUCGAACGGUGAAGCGCCUUCCUUUUUGGUGGGUGUGGAUGAGUGGCGAACGGGUGAGUAACACGUGAGUAACCUGCCCCCUUCUUCUGGAUAACCGCAUGAAAGUGUGGCUAAUACGGGAUAUUCUGGGUCUGUCGCAUGAUGGGUCUGGGAAAGAUAUUGUUUCGGUGGGGGAUGGGCUCGCGGCCUAUCAGCUUGUUGGUGGGGUGAUGGCCUACCAAGGCGGUGACGGGUAGCCGGCCUGAGAGGGUGGACGGUCACACUGGGACUGAGACACGGCCCAGACUCCUACGGGAGGCAGCAGUGGGGAAUAUUGCACAAUGGGCGCAAGCCUGAUGCAGCGACGCCGCGUGGGGGAUGGAGGCCUUCGGGUUGUGAACCUCUUUCGCCAGUGAAGCAGGCCUGCCUCGUUUGUGGGUGGGUUGACGGUAGCUGGAUAAGAAGCGCCGGCUAACUACGU
RNAcentral lists this ribosomal RNA (493 nucleotides) under uncultured bacterium. RNAcentral's name for it is "partial 16S ribosomal RNA". It matches the Rfam family "Bacterial small subunit ribosomal RNA", at positions 28 to 506 of the family's 1533-position model. The record is from RNAcentral.